Molecule: long non-coding RNA, 728 nt
Organism: Nematostella vectensis (starlet sea anemone)
Lineage: Eukaryota; Metazoa; Cnidaria; Anthozoa; Actiniaria; Edwardsiidae
Exons: 2
Source: RefSeq, a predicted model, not a curated record
AAAGUGGUUUCACUUAAUGAUAAGUCAAAUACUUCAUAAAAGACGACACUAUAUCAUUUAUUUUCAAUGUUUGUUUUAUCUUUAGGAUUUACUCUAAUUCAAACUCAUCUCACCCCAACCCCACCCCUUCACUACCCCCUGAAACCAACAACCCGCCCCUUAGUUUUGGAACAACUCUGUUCUCGUAGUUUACUAAGGCCGUUGGGGGACCUAAAUAAGCCGCUGUGCUCGUUCAGAGAGAAGAAAAAUAGGUGAGACCAACAUAAGUUUUGACCCCUAAGUUAUAGAAAAAGUGCGUAGUCUCUAGAUCCUUUUCCCCAAAGAAUAGCAUCAUCCACUAUAAGAGCGUAAAGGCUUUUGGCAGCGCAACAUGAUAAGUUGCCAGGAAAGAUGAACUCGUUCCAAAAUGACAAAGAAGUAGGCAUUAAGAAUAAGUAAUUAGGUACAGAGUUCCAAAAUGACAAAGAAGUAGACACUAAGAAGAAGUAAUUAGGUAGAGUUUCAUCCUCUUUGCCGAGGUUAUGAUCAGGUAGCGAAUGUCAGCAUAUGUAACAAAUGUCAGCGUACGUAGCAAAUGUCAGCAAAUGUAACAAAUGUCAGCAAGUUUUGAGGUCUACCUAGUGCGAUCUUUCUCAGAAAAAUACCUGUUCAAGCGGAGCACAAGACUUGGAAGAUCUUUAAAAGGUAAUAUAUUGUUAUAGAUUAGACGAGGGAAGACACAAAAGUAA